CAUGGAAAUGAUGAAUAGUUGCUCUACCGUAAUUUCUUUCAAGUACCUAGUUUUAAACUUUGAACUGUUUGAAGUUUUAGACACAACAAUUUUGAUCUAAGAUUUACUUUGAACUUGAAACUUGUCGGUAGCAAUGCUUGAUCUAAGUCUAGGUAUUUGGCGGAUACGAUGUGAGAAGGUCUCAGCUCUUGUUUAUCUUUUUCUUAGAGAUACUAGAGUUCUUAUAAAAAAUAUAUAAAAGUGCUACAUGAUGAGAUCCUGUAUGAUGAGAUCUUGAAUUCCUACAACAGUCAUAUAUACAUGCUUGUUAGACUAGGAAACCUUUCACUUAUAUUUACUACGUAUGAGCAUUUAGUAGAGUCAAACUGUGUUGACCCUUAGAGACUUGUCAUGCGGUUAAAAUCCAGAUCAUGUACUCCCCACCCAUACAAGCUACUUCUACCUUGGAAGUAUAGACCCACAUCCACUGUAUCUAGAUCCACCUAAAAUUGUUUUACUCCUACACUAGGAGUGAACACCAAAAACAAACUUUCCAUCCAUUCACCCAUUAUCCAUUACCAUCCAAAUAAAGCUCCAAAUAUUCCCAUGUUACUACCUACCAUCAAUAUGUCCAAAGAGGCUUAGGUUCUCAUUGAGAAAAAGAGAGAAGAAGAAAGAAAGAAAGAGGACAAAUGUCCCAAAAAGAAAAAAGAAGGAAAUAAAAAACGAGAUUGUAUCCCAUAUAUCUUCAAGUUCAAAAGAGAGGUAUGUAUUUCUUCAAGGAGCAAAAGUAGAAUUAGGCUUUCACCAUUACCAUCAUAUACACCCCUUCAUAACCACUUACACCUACCAUUAUCACCAUCCACUAUAUCCCAGAUAUCCACACACAUGCACAUCUUGAUUUGAUUGUAUGACUUAUUUCCCUGGAUCCAUAGUUUGACUUACAAUACAUGUUUGCAAGUAUGUAUGAGCUGGCUCACCACCUAUGAGCUCCAACAUAAGCCUAUUAGUUAUAGGGUGAGAGGGAGUGGGCAUAAUGCUACUACGCCUAAUGCCAAAAAUAUCACAUAUCUUGAGAGAUGAAACAAGGCAAACAUCAUUAAUGCCUUGGUAAGGAUUCACAAAUACCACAAGUGAGAGACUUGAGAGGGUCAUACAUAGGAAUCUCUGAGUAUUAUUUGAACAUCCACAAAAACUCCAGAAUGAAGGUUGACCA
Molecule: long non-coding RNA, 1195 nt
Filed under: Sorghum bicolor (sorghum)
Lineage: Eukaryota; Viridiplantae; Streptophyta; Magnoliopsida; Poales; Poaceae
Description: long non-coding RNA (SBIC_LNC008593)
Source: RNAcentral